Molecule: small nuclear RNA, 163 nt
Organism: Mirounga angustirostris (Northern elephant seal)
Lineage: Eukaryota; Metazoa; Chordata; Mammalia; Carnivora; Phocidae
Product: U1 spliceosomal RNA
Exons: 1
Source: RefSeq, a predicted model, not a curated record
ACACUUAACCUGGCAGUGGAGAUACCAUGAUCAGGAAGGUGGUUUUCCCAGGGCAAGACUUACCAUUGCACUCCAGAUAUGCUGACCCCUAUGAUUUUCCCAAAUGUGGGAAACUUGACUGCAUAAUUGGGGUAAUGGGGGACUGCAUUUGUGCUCUCCCCUG